AACGAACGCUGGCGGCAGGCCUAACACAUGCAAGUCGAGCGAGGACUUCGGUUCUAGCGGCGGACGGGUGAGUAACGCGUGGGAAUGUGCCCUUCUCUACGGAAUAGCCCUGGGAAACUGGGAGUAAUACCGUAUACGCCCUAUUGGGGAAAGAUUUAUCGGAGAAGGAUCAGCCCGCGUUGGAUUAGGUAGUUGGUGGGGUAAUGGCCUACCAAGCCGACGAUCCAUAGCUGGUUUGAGAGGAUGAUCAGCCACACUGGGACUGAGACACGGCCCAGACUCCUACGGGAGGCAGCAGUGGGGAAUCUUAGACAAUGGGGGCAACCCUGAUCUAGCCAUGCCGCGUGAGUGAUGAAGGCCUUAGAGUUGUAAAGCUCUUUCAGCUGGGAAGAUAAUGACGGUACCAGCAGAAGAAGCCCCGGCUAACUCCGUG
This 433-nucleotide ribosomal RNA is filed under the name uncultured bacterium. RNAcentral's name for it is "partial 16S ribosomal RNA". It matches the Rfam family "Bacterial small subunit ribosomal RNA", at positions 29 to 507 of the family's 1533-position model. The record is from RNAcentral.